UCCGGAUUUAUUGGGCGUAAAGGGUGUGUAGGCGGUUUAAAUAGUCAGAUGUUAAAUCAUUGGGCUCAACCCAGUGACUGCAUUUGAAACGUUUAAACUAGAAAUAUGCAGAGGUUAGCGGAACUCAUGGUGUAGCAGUGAAAUGCGUUGAUAUCAUGGGGAACACCAAAGGCGAAGGCAGCUAACUGGGCAUUUUUUGACGCUGAGACACGAAAGCGUGGGUAGCGAACGGGAUUAGAUACCCCGGUAGUCCAUGCCGUAAACGAUGUACACUAGAUAUUGGGAGUUUCGACCCUCUCAGUGUCUAAGCUAACGCGAUAAGUGUACCGCCUGGGAAGUACGAGCGCAAGCUUAAAACUCAAAGGAAUAGACGGGGAUCCGCACAAGCGGUGGAGCAUGUGGUUUAAUUCGACAAUAAGCGAGGAACCUCACCAGGGCUAGAUACUUAGCUGCAUUCCGGCAGAGACGCUGGAAGCCUUCGAGGGUGCUAAGCAGGUGCUGCAUGGUUGUCGUCAGCUCGUGCCGUAAGGUGUUCCAUUAAGUUGGGUAACGAGCGCAACCCCUACUGUGUGUUACAAGUGUCACACGGAACUGCCC
RNAcentral lists this ribosomal RNA (597 nucleotides) under uncultured bacterium. Its description in RNAcentral is "bacterial SSU rRNA". It matches the Rfam family "Bacterial small subunit ribosomal RNA", at positions 544 to 1154 of the family's 1533-position model. The record is from RNAcentral.